Molecule: small nuclear RNA, 128 nt
Filed under: Echeneis naucrates (live sharksucker)
Lineage: Eukaryota; Metazoa; Chordata; Actinopteri; Carangiformes; Echeneidae
Description: U2 spliceosomal RNA (ENSENLG00000000661.1)
Rfam family: U2 spliceosomal RNA
About the family: U2 is a small nuclear RNA (snRNA) component of the spliceosome (involved in pre-mRNA splicing). Complementary binding between U2 snRNA (in an area lying towards the 5' end but 3' to hairpin I) and the branchpoint sequence (BPS) of the intron results the bulging out of an unpaired adenosine, on the BPS, which initiates a nucleophilic attack at the intronic 5' splice site, thus starting the first of two transesterification reactions that mediate splicing.
Source: Rfam by way of RNAcentral
AUCGCUUCUCGGCGUUUUGGCUAAGAUCAAGUGUAGUAUCUGUUCUUAUCAGUUUAAUAUCUGAUACGUCCCCUACCCGUCCAAAUCCAAACUCAGGAGACAUCGGCACCGGGGGUGCCUUAUCCAUU